RNAcentral lists this ribosomal RNA (253 nucleotides) under uncultured bacterium. RNAcentral describes it as "partial 16S ribosomal RNA". It matches the Rfam family "Bacterial small subunit ribosomal RNA", at positions 524 to 776 of the family's 1533-position model. The record is from RNAcentral.
UACGAAGGGGGCUAGCGUUGCUCGGAAUCAUUGGGCGUAAAGCGCACGUAGGCGGUUUGUUAAGUCAGGGGUGAAAUCCUGGAGCUCAACUCCAGAACUGCCUUUGAUACUGAGAAGCUUGAGUCCGGGAGAGGUGAGUGGAACUGCGAGUGUAGAGGUGAAAUUCGUAGAUAUUCGCAAGAACACCAGUGGCGAAGGCGGCUCACUGGCCCGGUACUGACGCUGAGGCACGAAAGCGUGGGGAGCAAACAGG